UGCGAGUCCAGAGCUUUCGGAGCUCGGCGUACCGCUCAGUAACACGUGGGUAACCUAACCUAUGCAGGGGAAUAACCUCGGGAAACUGAGUAUAAUGCCCCAUAGUCCACUACGCCUGGAACGGUGAGUGGAUCAAAGCUCAGGCGGCAUAGGAUGGGCCUGCGGCGUAUCAGGUUGUAGGGGGUGUAAAGUACCCUCUAGCCAUCUACGCGUACGGGUGUUGGGAGACAUAGCCCGGAGAUGGAUUCUGAGACACGAAUCCAGACCCUACGGGGUGCAGCAGGCGCGAAAACUUGACAAUGCGAGCAAUCGUGAUCAGGGAACUCCAAGUGGCUGGGGUAAGACCCAGUCUUUUCAUAACUCUUCAAAGGUUGUAGAAUAAGGGGUGGGUAAGGACGGUGCCAGCCGCCGCGGUAAUACCGGCGCCUC
This 429-nucleotide ribosomal RNA is filed under the name uncultured archaeon. RNAcentral's name for it is "bacterial SSU rRNA". It matches the Rfam family "Archaeal small subunit ribosomal RNA", at positions 52 to 485 of the family's 1478-position model. The record is from RNAcentral.